RNA transcript from Homo sapiens (human), 17732 nucleotides. It is a transcript of the gene named sulfatase modifying factor 1, with no coding region annotated. The record is from RefSeq and is marked reviewed. The transcript has 10 exons. Lineage: Eukaryota; Metazoa; Chordata; Mammalia; Primates; Hominidae.
GGGUCACAUGGCCCGCGGGACAACAUGGCUGCGCCCGCACUAGGGCUGGUGUGUGGACGUUGCCCUGAGCUGGGUCUCGUCCUCUUGCUGCUGCUGCUCUCGCUGCUGUGUGGAGCGGCAGGGAGCCAGGAGGCCGGGACCGGUGCGGGCGCGGGGUCCCUUGCGGGUUCUUGCGGCUGCGGCACGCCCCAGCGGCCUGGCGCCCAUGGCAGUUCGGCAGCCGCUCACCGAUACUCGCGGGAGGCUAACGCUCCGGGCCCCGUACCCGGAGAGCGGCAACUCGCGCACUCAAAGAUGGUCCCCAUCCCUGCUGGAGUAUUUACAAUGGGCACAGAUGAUCCUCAGAUAAAGCAGGAUGGGGAAGCACCUGCGAGGAGAGUUACUAUUGAUGCCUUUUACAUGGAUGCCUAUGAAGUCAGUAAUACUGAAUUUGAGAAGUUUGUGAACUCAACUGGCUAUUUGACAGAGGCUGAGAAGUUUGGCGACUCCUUUGUCUUUGAAGGCAUGUUGAGUGAGCAAGUGAAGACCAAUAUUCAACAGGCAGUUGCAGCUGCUCCCUGGUGGUUACCUGUGAAAGGCGCUAACUGGAGACACCCAGAAGGGCCUGACUCUACUAUUCUGCACAGGCCGGAUCAUCCAGUUCUCCAUGUGUCCUGGAAUGAUGCGGUUGCCUACUGCACUUGGGCAGGGAAGCGGCUGCCCACGGAAGCUGAGUGGGAAUACAGCUGUCGAGGAGGCCUGCAUAAUAGACUUUUCCCCUGGGGCAACAAACUGCAGCCCAAAGGCCAGCAUUAUGCCAACAUUUGGCAGGGCGAGUUUCCGGUGACCAACACUGGUGAGGAUGGCUUCCAAGGAACUGCGCCUGUUGAUGCCUUCCCUCCCAAUGGUUAUGGCUUAUACAACAUAGUGGGGAACGCAUGGGAAUGGACUUCAGACUGGUGGACUGUUCAUCAUUCUGUUGAAGAAACGCUUAACCCAAAAGGUCCCCCUUCUGGGAAAGACCGAGUGAAGAAAGGUGGAUCCUACAUGUGCCAUAGGAUGAAGAAACUCAGGCUCUGGGAAGUAGCUAAGAUGUCUAAGCUCCGAACCAUACUCUCCAACUUCCACGUCCAGCGCUCUUUCCACUUCAAAAUCUUUGGUCAUUCCUUAUUCCUUGGGUAACGCUCAGGCCAAGGUCGGAGGGAUAAGAAAGUCAGUAGAGGCUGGGAGCGUGGCUCAUGCCUGUAAUCCCAGCAUUUUGGGAGGCCGAGGCGGGCGGAUCACCUGAGGUUGGGAGUUCGAGACCAGCCUGACCAACAUGGAGAAACCCUGUCUCUACUAAAAAUACAAAAAUUAGCCGGGCGUGGUGGCCCAUGCCUGUAAUCCCAGCUACUCGGGAGGCUGAGGCAGGAGAAUCGCUUGAACCCGGGAGGUGGAGGUUGCGGUGGGCCGAGAUCGCGCCAGUGCACUCCAGCCUGGGCGACAGAGCGAGACUCAGUCUCAAAAAGAAAAAGGAGAGUAGAAAGGGCUUUGAGGUAGUUAAUAGAAGCAAACAUUUACUGAGUUCUUACAGCAAACCGGAAAGUGUAUUUUCCUUGCCAUUUUCAAAGCACUCCGGAAGAGAGGUACUGUUCCACUGUACGCUGGAAGACUCUAAGGCUGAGCCACAGCUAAUUUACACUCGCCCAAGAGCCCACAGCGUGAGGGAGACCACAGCUAAGGCUGACUCGAGGGGCUGUUUUUAUGCACGACACCGGCUGCGAUCCAUUAAUAGGCCCCACGGCUUAUCCUACCUGUGAGAGACACCUGAGACCAGGGAGGUAAAUGACUCCCCCCGUGAUGCCUCCUUGAGUUCUGAGGACAGGACUGGACAAAAAGCCAGGUUCUCACAAGGCCUCCGGUUCUGCGCUUCAGGGAAUGGACUGAAAAGGACAACACCCUUGCUAAGGUGAUGCCGUGGGUCAACAGAAAAAGGCCCAGGCCGGGGCAUGCACACCUAUUCCCGCGCACCAACGGGUGCGCUGUAAGAGAAGACAAAAGGUCGCGACUGGGAGGCCGUCCCAGCGAGGCGGCUUGAGGAGACCACGUGGGGGAGCCGCGCGCCCGCCUCCCGCGCCGCCUGGCCCCGCCCCUACCUGGAAGGGCGCCGGCGCGGCCCCCGGGGGCCACGCGCCCACCGGCAAGUUUUCCUGGCCGCACGCGACAUCCAGCUGCUCAGUCGGGGCCUCAGGCUUCUCCUUAAACUCCGCCAUCCCACAAGGCCGUGUCGUCUUUGCCGCUUCCGCGAACAUUUACCCGCCUCACGCAACGCCCACUACCCUGACAGUCCUGGGCCGCGCGGUGGAUGCUGGGACUUGUGGUCCCGUGGCCCCACCGCCUCAUGGGAAUUGUAGUUCGUUUCUUCUCAGGAGUGGCCUGGAAGGCGCUUCCCUUCCUUGACUUUUUGGGUCUGGCUCCCGUUUUGAUUUCAGCCAGAGGCACCACAGAUAAUUACAAAACCAUGUAAGGCUCCUCAAACUCAAAAUAAUCUGAAUUGACUUCUUCUGCCAGUCUUGCUUUUUCUUCUUUAAAGUUAACUGGGAAAAUAAUUUGUGAUCUACAGAGCCACUAAAGCAACAAACCAGUUACUCUGUAUUCCUUCACUUCACUAGACUCAUAUAGCUAAGGACGUGGUGGGUAAGUCUUGUUGAUUCUGCCUUCAUGUUCUCAUUUUUGCCUCUUCUCACUUAGUCCUAGGCUCUCUCAUUUCUUGCUUGGACUUUGGAAGUUCUUUGCUUUAAGUCUGUCAUUCUCCAUAUCCCCAAAUCACCCUUACUGCCGCUGCUACAAUGACCUUUGAAGAUCCUUGUCCAGUUAUUAUAUUUUGCUGCUUAGAUUCUUAUUUGCUCCAUUUUCUCUCAAAGUUUACCUUCUAUAUUCUGUCUUAUGAGCCUUUGAGGACCCAGACUUUACCUAUUUCCUUGGUCUCUUUUGCUGCUGUUCUCUGUUGGAACCCCUUGUUCUGUUGACAUUCCCUCAAAAAGCCAUUCUACUUGGGCCUCUGGGCCUUUGUCCACAUUGUUCUUGUAUCUCCAGUGCCUUUACCCAGGACUGUCUGUCUGCUCAGCUCAAGUAGUCCCUUCUCUGUAUCUUUCUUUACCCUGUUUCCCUUAGCAUUGGUUACCCUCUUUACAUUAGUUCUCCUACUUUAUAAGCCAUUUCUUAUGUUCCCUGCAACUAUUUAAUGUAAGCACAGGCAAAACCAUCUUAUUGAACUCAUAAAAAUUAUAUAUAUAUAUAUUGGUGGAGGGUGGGGAGAUAGAUAGAUAGAGAAACAUUUUGUUUUAACUUAAAUGAUUUUGGUACAUUUAUAUGCUAGUCUUUUGAUGUAGGGCCAAAAGAGAAGGAGAGCUAGAGUGUGUGUGUGUGUGUGUCUCUGUAUGUUUGUUUUCUACUGAUUAGAGCUCCAGGUCAAGCUUACUCUGAGUUCCAGUUUUGGUGUCUUUAAAGUGGGGUGGGAACUAAAGGAUAGUGAAGCAAUGGGAUAUCAUGAUCUGUUUUCUUUCCCUAGUCUUUUAUACUUUUCUCACUCACACCCACUUCAAGGGCAAAACAUUUUUUAGUGACUUGCUUUUUUUUCUCCAAGUCUUUACAGAAUGUUCUACUUAGUUAUCCCAGAAGGGAGAAACUCUUUGCACUCAUAGUUCAUCAUCCUUUUUUCAUAAAAUUAUAAUAACAGUUAUACCUGGCAUUAAUAGGUUUGAGAACAGAAAUUAAAGAUCAGCCUUAUAAAUGUGCUAUUCAUGAGCAUGUAUAAAAUCACAUAAUUUUGCACUGCAGUACACAUCUGAUAUAAAAACUUUUUUGAGUACACAUCUGAUAUAAAAACUUUCUUGUGUUGCUGUAAAGAAAUACUUGAGGCUAGGUAAUUUAUAAAGAAAAGAGGUUUAAUUGGCUCAUGGCUCUGCAGGCUGUACAGGUAGUAUGGUGCUGGCAUUUGUUCGGUUCCUGGGCAGGCCUCAGGAAGCUUUGAGUCAUAGUAGAAGGUGAAGAGGAAGCAGGCAUCUCACAUGGUCAAAGCAGGAGCAGUGAGAGAGAGUGGGGGUUGGGGCAGGUGCCACACACACUUUUAAAUGACCGGAUCUUGUGAGAAUUAACUCACUGUUGUGAUGACAGCACCGAGGGGAUGGUGCUUUAGCACCCAUGGGUUUAAUGAGAAACCCGCCCCCAUGAUCCAGUCUUCUCCUACUAUGCCCCACCUCCAACACUGGGGAUUAGAUUUCAACAUGAGGCUUGGAUGAGGACAAAUAUCCAAAUUAUAUCAAUAGGGAAUUGAUUCUAUGUAGAAAAGAAUCAAAAUGUAAGAGUUAGGGGCACAGUAUCUGAAAUCAGCCAUGACUAAAUUUAUAUUCCUACUCUGCAAAUUUCUGACCAUGGGAAAUAAUAGCUAACAUUUAUUGACUUAUUAUGUACCAGAUACUGUUUUUUUAUUUUUUAUUUUUUGAGGUGGAGUCUCACUCUGUCACCCAGGCUGGAGUGCAGUGGCGCCAUCCUGGCUCACUGCAACCUCCACCUCUUGGGUUCAAGCAGUCUUCCUGCCUCAGCCUCUUGAGGAGCUGGGAUUACAGGUGUGUGCCACCACACCCAGCUACUUUUUUGUAUUUUUAGUAGAGCUGGGGUUUCACCGAAUUGACCAUACUGGUCUCAAACUCCUGACCUCAAGUGAUCCACCCAUCUCCACCUCCCAAAGUGCUGAGAUUACAGGCAUAAGCGACGACAUCUGGCCCAGAUAUUGUUUAAACAUUUGAUAUGUAUAAAUUCAUUAAUACCCAUAAUAUGGUACUUGAAACAUCUACCACAGGGUCAUUUCAGGUUCAACUAAACAUUCGGGUUCACAGGACUGUCACUGGCCACACUUGGCAUUAGCUUCACUUGAGAUUAUAGGACAAGAGCCAAAGCCUACCAGCAGAGAGGCCUCAGGUGUACCCCUUCUGUGGGAAUAGUGCUUGCAGUCCACACAGCAGGUCACAGAGCUGCCUGGGAGCUGUUUGUUCUCCCAGAGGGUGGCUCAAAUGCAAGGAGAAUAUAUCCCAUUAAUAGGGUGUGGGGGAAUCCUGAAUUAGAAGCCUUGCCUCUCAGAAGCUAUAGAUUUUAAGGUAGCUGCCUAGUAAAUAUUUUAUCAGAUAUAGUUGUGUACCUAUCCUUCCUUAAAAGAAGAGAUAGUCAUGUAUAUGAUACAAUUAGCUGCUUAUAGUAUAAUUAAGAAACAUAAGAAGGUUUAGGUAAAGUGCUAUGGAUCUUUAGAACUGGUAAAGAUUACUUUUAGCAGGGGAGAUCAUGAAUGAUGGAUAGGAUUUAGGCAUUCCAGGUGGAAGGAACAGGAGAAGCAAAGUAAUAAAAAGAAAGAUGUGGAUAGGAAAGAGUAAUUUCAGAUUGGCUGGAGAUAAGGUUUGUUUCACCCUUCAGGAAUUUUGAAUAGUAUGGGAAUUUCUCAGAUAUUCAGAGAACAUGCUGUUCAUUCAUUUUAAGAAAAGUUUGACCACUGAUUACAUGCAUGGUCCAGUUUACCAAUUAGGGGAAUGUAUACAUGAAGAAGACAUGGUACCCUAGAAAAGCUUGCAGUGUAACAGACAAAUAACUAUAUACUUACAGAAUGUGAUAGAAAUUGUAAGAAUGUUGUGAGAAAAGAAUUAUAAGAGCCAUGAGGAGAACCACACUCCUAUAUUUGCUGUUAUGCCAUUUUUAGUUUUUGACUCUUUCUUGGUAAUACUGUCUGCUAUUUGGAAAAUUUUUUUGAAGGAUCCACUUUAUUUUAUUUUUUCGGAAGCUGUCAGCAGUGGUGCUUCCAGAAUAAGAUAUUUUGUGCAUGCUGGCCCUUUGGUUUAAUUUGUUUUUAUCUUGCUGGCAGAGGAUCCAAAAGUAUUUUAUAGAGUAUGAGAUUAAAAUAAUGAGAGGAUGUUUGCAGGCUGAUAUAACCAAUCUUCAGAAUGCCAAGCUGUCAGUCUUUCAUCUUUUCGGGGUCUAGAAACCUGUCUUAUUUUCUCUAGACAACUGCUUUUCAUUGACCAGGAACCUUGAUCUUCAGAAUUUGUUCUGCAAACCAUUAUAGCUAGAUGGUGGGGAAAAAUGUAUUUCUGGACAUUAAUGAAUUGCCCUAAUAGAUUUCCAUAAACAGGUUUUGGAACUGAAUAUUGCAUUGAUUAUUCAGAUUUCUUUUGGAUUUUUCACUGGCAGAAGAGAAACUAAUCUGAUCAGUAAUAAAAAAAUAAAAAGAAAACAAUACAAUAUAAUAAAACUCUGACAUUUCAUAGGUUCAGUUAUCCUUGGCUAAAUUAUGAGGUAUGACUAUUUGAGCUUUACAUUUAUUAACAAAAGUGGUCUUUAAUUGGGGUGUUUUUAUGCUUUUUUGUUCAGGGUUUUUAUGAAGUUCUGCAUGGCUUUGUAUUCAGAAGCCAUUCUUUUAUCAAAGUUUCACUAGCAUUAUCUGAGCUUAAUAUUCUGGGAUGUACUUUGUAGCCAGUGAUGAAAGGAGGAAAGUCAGCAGAAAUUACUUACAUAUUUGUUAGCAUUUGAAACAUCUUAGCCUUCUAAUAAGAACUAUCACGGCCAGGCACAGUGGCUUAUGUCUGUAAUCCCAGUGCCUUGGGAAGCUGAGGUAGGAGGAUGGAGGAUGGCUCAAGGCCAGGAGUUCCAGGCAAGCUUGGGCAACGUAGCCAGACUCCAUCUCAAAAAAAAAAAAAAAAAAAAAUUCAGGUGUAGUGGCUUGUGGCUGUAAUUCUAGGGAGGCUGAGGUGGGAGGAUUGCUUGAGCCCAGCAAUCCAAGGCUUCAGUUAGCUAUGAUUGUGCCACCGUACUGCAGCCUGGAUUGGGCGACGGAGAGAGACCUUCUCUCUAAAACAAACCCAAAACACCUGACACCAGUAGAUACCAAGUAGGCAUAGUACAGGCACUGGAUCCUCUCAUGAAAAAAGAUUGUUGCAUGAAGUCAUUUUAAAAAGAAGCAUGGUAAUUGAUCCUUUUGGGGAUUUCUGUCCAAUUUGGUGACCAUUUCCCUUGUGAGAACAUGCCAUCCCUCACCCAGCCCGUCUAACGGGGUGGGCUCACAGACAGUUAUGUUUAUAUUACACAGUGAUCUCCUAAAAAGCCUCGGCCCAAGUUUUUAGCUUACAGGUGCACACCUUUUUCAAUCUAGGACAAUUAGGUUCUCUUGGUCAGGAGCUGAGACCAAAUCACAGCUAAAACUAUUAUUUAUAAUUCAGGAGCUGAGAGGUAGGUUUAUUUGGUAUAUAGAUGGAGAAGCAGGGGAAAGUCCGUCUUCCAAGAGAAAAAUAAAGCAGAUGAGUGAUAAGGAGAGAGGACAGCUGUCUAUUUCUGGUUUCAGUCUCUUUUUCGAUUCACAUUACAUAACUAUAUUAUUAUAAUAAAUUCUUCCUUUGGGUUUAGGUUAAGUCAGAGUGGUUUCUGUUACUUUAAACAAUUUUAGCCAGGAAAGGUACUGUGAACAUUUAUAAUGACAUUAUUAUUACCAUUAUUAUCAUUAGACAGUGUGGGUUGGAUAAUUAGCUACUUUGCUCUUGAUAUGGUUUCGCUGUGUUCCCAUCCAAAUCUCAUCUUGAAUUGUAGCUCCUGUAAUCCGCACGUGUCGUGGGAGGGACCCAGUGGGAGGUAAUUGAAUCAGGGGGUUGGGCUUUUCUCCUGAUAGUGAGUAAGUCUCAUGAGAUCUGAUGGUUUUAUAAAAGGGCAGUUCCCCUGCACACGCUUAUCUUGCCUGCUGCCAGGUAAGAUGUACCUUUGCUCCUCCUUCACCUUCCACCAUGAUUGUGAGGCCUCCCCAGCCAUGUGAAACUGUGAGUCCAUUAAACCUCUUUUCCUUUAUAAAUUACCCAGUCUCAGGUAUGUCUUUAUUAGCAGCCUGAGAACAGACUCAUACAGCUCUGUAUAGAAGUUAUAUGAUCUUUAUGAAUUUUUGUUCACUUUAAAAGAUGGGUAAGCUUUUUUUUUUUUUUAACUAUUUUGCCUUUCUGAUGUGUCUUCACUAAAGAGUGCCUUCCCAAAAUAAUAUUAAUAGAAUUUUAUAACAUCAAACAGUAGUACAAAAUAAGAAAUUUCUAUCUGGUGGAAGGGAUAAUAAUACAGUAAUAAUGGCUAAUACUUCUAUAGCACAUAAGUCAUACCCAGUAUUGUUUUUUUUUUAAAAAAGCAAAGGCAUAUGGGUCAUUUUUCUAUAAGAAAAAAUGUGGCAAUUUAUUAAAAUAACUUGAAACUUUUAUCUUACAAAAUUGUGACCCUGUGUUAUGUUUUCCAAAAGACAGCAGUUUACAUUUUUGUGUUUAGACUGCUAUUAAAUAUGUUUUCAGCAGAAUAAAAAAACUUCCAUCUUGUCCUAUGUUUUUAUCAUUGCAUUAUGGUUUCAUGAAACCCAUAAUUUCCCUUGUUGAUAUGAUAAAAAACAUAAAGAUAAAAUCACAAUCAGAAUAUUGUUAGUGUAAGUACUUUAGCUGUGAAGUAAUAUCCAGGAUUGAUGAUUGUAGACUGUCUCAAAAUGUUAUGAAGUCAAAUGUGGAUUGUUUGAUAAUAUGCGAAGAGGUGAAAGAAGAGUAUUAUGUAUUUAUAUAACCUGCAAUAUCACCAGCAAGAAAUUAAUUUCACUCACGGAAAACAUAUGAACAAAUUUAUUAUCAUGCGUAUUCAAAUACUGUUACCAAGGCUAUGAGAGCAGACUUGCUUUGUUUGCAGUUUGACCUUGAAAAGCACAGCCCGCGGUUCGUUCAUUUCACGUUCCAGGUAGUAAGCUUUGCAUACCACCUAUAAACAGAAUUUUUUCUAGAGUACUAGAUCUUCCUUCUCAUCUAUAAUAAGGCACACCACCAGCCUUUUCUGCUUGCAGUUUUGAAAGCAAAGAUGAAGUUUAGUUCCACAAGCGUCCUAUUUUAGAGCAAUCUACCAAAAACAUUCUAAGCCCAGAUCUACAAGUAUCUACAGGAUAAUUUCGCUGGAUACCACCAAAUAUCAUCUGAGACUGGAAUCCUUCUUAGAGACUAUAUUAAUUUUCUGCUUCUUAUAAUGCAACGUUCCUGCAACUAUAUAGGCCCCUGGCAUUCUCACUCUGGUAGCUUCCCAGCCCCAGUUCUAGCAUUUGAGUGGAGAAAGGAAACCAUGGAAACGAAAAACCAAAUGCAAAAAAUUUUACUCAGUUGCCCAAGACUAACUUGUCUAAAGCAUCUCUUGGAAAAAUGUUGAUGAUUUAUAAUUAUUUUUAGAUAUUUCAACCAGGAAAAGUUUGUCGUAAAAAGAAUUCCACAGAGGAAAAAGCUCUUUUCUUUUUCAUUAUCUCAGUAAGUGUGAAUGUGUUAAAGUCAGCGUCGCUGCAGACGGAUCUCUACGUAGGAAUUGAAGAGGACUGUGGAAACUCCUUUUUACUCUCCUCACACAUAUAGUUAGUCCAAAAAGACCUCGCUCAGUGUCUGACUACAGUGCCUGAAAUCCUCAUCAUUAGAACUUCUCCCAUUUGCGAUAAACAUUGCUGUUUCCAUGUCAUGUUUUUUUUUAGAACUCCAGUAUUCUCGGGAGUGAAAAAAAUGGUAAACACAGAUAUGUUUUACAUAUUGCUUUCUUUCCAGACAAGAAGAAACCUGGGCAGCCUGACAACUUAGAGGAAUUGGUGAAGAGGAGGAAAAAAAUGUCAGACACACCAAAUUAACAUUUGUUGUUGUUGUUGUUGAGACAGGUUCUUGCUCUGUUGCCCAGGCUGGAGUGCAGUGGUACACUCUCUACAACUCAGAGGCUCAUUGUACCUCAGAGGCUCACUGCAGCCUCGAUCUCUCAGCCUAAAGAAAUCCUCCUGCCUCAGCGUCCUUUGCAGCUGAGACUACAGGCACACACUAUGAUGCCUGGCUAAUUUUUUAAAUUUUUUGUAGAGAUAGGGUCUUGCAGUGUUGCCUGGGCUCGUCUUGAACUCCAGGGCUCAGAUGAUCCCUCUGCCUUGGCCUCCCAAAGUGCUGAGAAUGAAUGGACGUGGCCACGUGUAACUACUGAAUAGUUGAAAUAUGGCUAGUGUGACCGAAGAGCUGAAUUUCAAAUUUAUCAAUUUUAAUUAAAUUUGAUUUAAAUAGCUACGUAUAGCUAUGGACAGCACAUUCCUAGAUACUAUACUUAAACAUUACACAUAUUUUAAAUUUGAUCCUCACAACAAUUCCACGAAGUAGGCAGUAUUAAUAUCUCCACUGCCCAAGAUCUGAGAACUGAAAUUCCAAUAGAUUAGGUAUUUUAAAAAAUGUAUUUCACAUGUAUGAGUGGUAGGGGUGAAUGUGGGCCUAGGUCUGAAACUCUGCCUCUCUGAAGAUAAAGUUUCUCACCAUUUAUGUUUCUAAGCCUUUCCCAUAUUCAGAGACUACUUUUCUUCUGGCUGCUGUGCAGGAAUGAAAGGAUUAGAAAUCUUGAAAUUAGAAAACAUAAACAGUUUUUCAUCCCAUUGGAAAGUAUAGUGAUUUAUAUAGUGAAGGGCAUUAUGUAGCUUGAGAGAUGUUUUUACUAAGGGUUGUGCUCUUGGGCUUUGAAAAUAUAAUCACAUUAAUUAAUCUGCCUCAAAGGAAACCUUGAUCUCACUGCUGAAUAUGCUAGUCUUACAGCCUGACUACUUAGAACAGUCUAUUAGGCUACUGAAAUUUCUGCUUUGUGACAUUCGAAUGUUAUUACUAUAAUUUUACUAAUUGUGAGUUACCUGAGUGAGGGAACUGAAUAAUAGAAAUCUGUUGCAUAUAAGAUUAUGUCUCUCUUGGUAGUAAUAAAAAUGCCGAGGAAAUAACCAAUUUAUAAAUGGUCAUAGAAGUGAUUUCUAAUUCUAUUCUCUUUAUCUUUUCGGGCUUUUAAAAAUAAGUGAAUGGAGGCAACAAACUGCUCUAUGCCUGUGCCACUCAGGAGAGGCAAAAUAGGUGGCUCUUUGAACUCCAAAACCUUUUAGCUUCAGAAUAGAAAGUCAAGGAAGUUGUGUUUUGGGAAAUUGAGCUUUCUUUGCAACAGUGGAAUGGAUUUUUUCAGUGUCAUUCUAAUCUAAUCAUUAGGAUUAGAACAUAUUACAUAUAAUAUGUAACUCUUCCACUUCCAGUUACAUAUUAUAACUGCACUAUGUGGUUGAUGAAUGAUUGGUCAUAACAGGCAGCUCUGAAUUCCUUUAUCCUGAACCCUGACUCUAGCUUUAAUCCCUCAGUUUGAAAGUCUUUCAUUUAGUUGUUCAUUUAGCUGUUCUCUUAUCAUUUUAAUUUGCAGUUUUUAAAAAAGUCAAGUAUUUUCAAACAUCUUUGCUUUGUUAGUUUGAGCUCUGGAAGAUUAAAUUUCACGUUCUGGAACUCACCCAUGAGCUUAGCUUAGAAGAACAUUGAAUAUAAUUUGUUUUUUACAGAGCCUGGAAAUUACAGGGUUAAUGACACAGGAAACCACUUCUCACUGCAGAUGAAAUAUGUGUGUCUUUUUUCAUCUCUUAGCAAAUUAGGUAAAGUUUUCCCCCAAAGAGCAUUUUUGUUUUUAGUUGGUAAAUUAAACAAGCAGUUCAGAUUGCACUUUCCAGACCCUAGAUUUUGUAGGUAUUUGUUGCUGGGGCUUUUGUCUUAAUGAAGUCUGGCAGUACCUGUUCAGAUGAAAUAGCCAAUUUUACCUUUGCUCUGGCACUUAAUCCAGCCAUCUGCUCUAGCUUUGGCUUUCAAGCACAAAGGGAAAGUACAAAGUAUAGCUAACUUGUUGGUGACAGCUGGUGGGUAAAAGAAUCAUUGUGUUUGACAGUGUCCUUUGGAAUAGACCACGAGGUGAAUAAAAUACAAUAUAUUGCCUCAUCUUAUAGCUGCCUUUAGGUUAGUUGAAAUUUAAAUUUCUGACUCACCCACCUUAUUUUCACUUCUUAGGCAAAGCCCCUUCUUGUCAUGUACUGCAUCAGCCAUAUGUUCUUGGGUAAGGGUAUUGUGUAGACCAACACUGAAGUAGAAAUUCCACUAAACAAAACGCCUUGCGUUUAAUCAAUGACUUAAGACAUGCUAUUCGUUUUAGCCUAUGUGUAUUUUUAAACUAGAAAUGAUCAUGGACAGUAUUUAUAUAUUCUAGGGCAAAUGUUCAUCUUAGAGAAAAGCCAAUACUUUUAAUUUUUUUCCUGCAUUAAAAAACUGUGCUAAUUAAUAAUUGAUAAAUAAGGAAAAUUUUAUUUUUGAUCAAUAGAUUUACAUUUGAACAACUGGAGUUUUAUUCCAAACAUGUUUUUGCAAAUAAUUAGUUGUUUCAAUCUUUGGUUGUACUUUUUAGUGAGCGAAUGAAGCUAUUGGCUGAUCCUCAAACAUAGUUAGCUACUGGAAGCAACCUUGUAUCUAAAACACCAUGUUAGCAUUGGGAUGAGGUAGCUGAAGUGAGGUGAGAGGAAGAGAAGCUCACAGAAGAGAGUUGGCAAAAGACGUUUGGUGGAAGGUUAUUUAAGAUAGAAUUUAUUCUAAUCCAGAUCAGAGAAGCAGCGAGAGAUUAUAUAGUUGGAAAUGUGGCCCACAUCAACCCUAAAAGAUAAGGACAUUUUUUUGCUUCCCUGUUGGAAAGUAUUUGGAAUUCAUGGCAAUUUAGUUUUCCACUUUGCACUUGGAAACUUAAUUUCGUCUUUCCCCAAAGGUCUAUAUAAAGAACCCAUUUUCUGCCAAGGACCAAUCAAACAGGAUCAUGGAAUCACUGAUAGAAGUGGUAAAAAGCGACUUCAAUUCCUUCCCUUGGAGAAGUAUAAAAUCCUUAUUCACUAAACAUGAAACCAAGUUAUCUAUUAUUCACUGCAAACCUUUUCUGGAACAAAGUGAGGCAUAAAUUAUUUAUUUUGCAUUAUGAAAUAAAGUGGUAAAAAGAAGGAGAGAGGAAGGCACUUUAGAGUGAGUAAAAAUGGAAGAGAAAUGCAGGAGACAAGGAGAGAGAGCAGAGAUGAGGGGGAGAGAGAGAUGGAUUUCAAGCAGGAAUAAGAUGGGAGUCAGGGCAAGCGAAAAUAUCUGGAUUAUUUAUAAUUAAAGAGUUUAUGUCUCCUAUAAUGAUCUGGCCUAUUGUUAAGCUGGGACUACCAUCAGUGUUAACAUAUCUGAAAAUUUCUCAUUGAAAUUCUUGAUUGUCAUUUAACAAUUGAAUGUUUUGAGGAUCUGCUACUUGCAGUGCACCAUGAUAGAGUUAUCGGGAAUAGUUAUUAUAAUAUUUGGCGGACACAUACUAUGUGCCCGACAUUAGACAAAACAUUUUAUGUGGGUUCUUUUAUCCUUAAAAGAGUCCUGUGAGGUAGGCAGUAUCACUACCUCUCCUCACUACAUAUUACUGUAGAGACAAUGAGAUAUGAAGAAGUUAAAGUUGGUCAACAAAGUUUUACAAGUGUUCGGAUUUACAGUUGUUUUUUUUCCUGACUUCCAUUUUGUAAAUGCACCUACCAUGGCUAAUUUCAAGCUACCAACACUUUAACAACCAGCUUGCAAGCUUUCUGAAUGUUAAGCUAUUGAUGAGAGUAGGUAUGAACUGGCUUCAGUACACGUCUGAAGGUGACUGUCCACAUAUCCUCAAAAUACCUACAGUCUAGCAGGGGAGAUAAGACUAUACAAUAUGAAGUAGAAAAUAAGAAGAACCAGAUAAGGCAGCAUGGAAAUUUAGAGAAGAGAUAAGUUUGAUUUAGAAGGUUCUAUGAGGGGGACAUUUAAACUGUAUUUUGAGGAGCGGGUAGUAUUUGAAGAUGUAGAUUUGGGGCAGAAGACCUGGAGGGGAAGGGAAAAGCAUGAACAGCUGAUGUUCCAUGUUACCUUCUCGUUCUUAAAAUGUGCUUUGGCUCUGUAGCAGCAAUACCCUUACGGUCCACAAGGUGGUGUGAUAACCCUAUCCUUUUGUCCAUUUAAUUACAAAUGAUAAAAUACCCAUUUUGCAUAAACUGGACAAGAAGUUUUUACUCUGUUGAAAAUGAGGAAAGAGUUAAAAAAUGUUUGUAGCAAAUUGUGAUGAGAAAAUUCAGAUAAACGUUUUCCUUUGCUGUGAUUUGUUUAGACUCACAUUUACACAAUCUAAGAGAAAUUUAUGUUCAAGUUAUAACGAGUACAUAGGCAGUUGUAAAAUGACUGAGUGAAUAUGUUUGACAAAAGAUGGAAAAUACUGUCUAAAGAUGCUAAACUUGGGAAUGUGUUUUAUUUGUCUGAGAGUUAAAAAUUGGGUAUGUCUUUUAAGUUUCAUUGUGAUUAAAAAACCAACCCAGCAUAAUUUAAAUUCAUUCACCAGAUUGAAUGGCUACAGUGUGCCACUCAUUAUGCCAUGUGUGAUUUGCCUAUUAUGCCUUAUACCUGGAUCUCAUAUCUAGAUCUGCCAAUAGUUGCAAAAAUGCAACUUAAUCAAUUAUGGAAGACGUUUUGAAAUGUUUUGUUGUUUUUGUUGAUAACACAAUUUAUUUGAUGCUAGAGUCAUUCAUAAUAAAGAAAGGUUUAUUUUUAGCAUUUGUUCAUGUAGUUAUUCAGCGUGUUUAUUAAGUACCAACUGUGUGUUGGCCAUUGUGCUAGGUGCUAUUUUAAAUGGUCGUUUAGUUUACAGAGUGCUCUAGCUAGAAACCCUACAACCAGAUGCUUUACCCCUUCUGGAUGAUAGCAACAAAGAAAAUGGGUUUAAAUUAAGAGAAGGUAGAUCCAGUUGACAAAAGGAAAAGAGUACUGUAAUGGGUGAUGGAGGGUGAGUAUGGAGGGGGUUCCUUGUAGGAAAUCUAUAAGAACAGAAUUGAUAUAAUUAAGAUAUAUACUUGCUUGAAGGCAAGGGCUUAAGCUCUGACUCAUAGAGCUUCCUAUCUUAUUUUAGGUCUCUAAUUGCUAGUGUAGUAAUGUAAGAACACCCUUCAACAGACAGUCUAUGUGUGACCGAUUUACACCACACUGGCCCAGUGCGGUUCCUUGCUCUUUGGAGCCUCUUUCCUCACCCAUAAAAUGAGGUUGAUAAUGCCAGUCUCAUAGGAUUGUCCUGGAGAUUUAACUGAGCAGGAAAUACAGGAUUUAUUUUGGAGUCAGCUUUGUAAGUGCUAAGAGAAGGAGGAGAUCCUUGGAUUCUUGCUCCUCCCCAAGUGGGACUAUCUUGGCCUCCAGCUGCUCUUUCACCUCCAGUCUGAGUUUCUCAGGCUUCCUUUCUGUCACUAUCUUCCCCAUUUUCCCGAAACCUCGUAGUUGCUUUCAGUGUUGUUCAGUUCUGGUUUGGCUGGGAUAGGGUUUAAAAUAGCCCUCACUCUGAAUGUGAUGGCAUUACUGCCCACCAGGAGCAAAUUAUGCUAUGUACUGUAGCAGAAAAGGUUGUGUGAUAAUGAAUAAAGAGAUGGAGUUGGUAGAAAGAACAACACCACUGUGGGCUUGAGGUCCUUCUUGAUUUUCAUGGAUAAAACAGUAAAUAAUAAGGAAGUUUAAGAGAACGUUGUGAAGUUCCGAAACCAUCUUCCUUUGGGGGCAGAAAUUAAAUUGUAUUUAGAAACAAUGGAGGGCUUUGUAGGUUCAAUUUUUUUUUUUUUCUAGACAGAGUCUCGCUCUGUUGUUCAGGCUGGAGUGCAAAUGACACGAUCUUGGCUCACUGCAACCUCCACCUCCCAGGUUUCAAGCAAUUCUCCUGCCUCAGCCUCCACUCUGAGUAGCUGGGAUUACAGGUGCAUGCCACCAUGCCCAGCUAAUUUUUGUAUUUUUGGUAGAGAUGGGGUUUCACCAUGUUGGUCAGGCUGGUCUCAAACUCCUGACUUUGUGAUCUGCCAGCCUUGUAGCUUCUAAUUUUUGAGUGGGGUGAUUGUAUGGCAAUACUAAGCUAGGUUAGCGGGUAUUCAAUUUUUCAUACCACUGUAGAGUUAGGAAAGGGAGCUCAACGGGAAGAGCUGUUUCAGGGACAGAGACCCAUGAUAGUAAUUCUUUCAGAAUGCUUUUACAUCUAUCCAAAAGCUUUGGAAUAUUAAUUUUUUUAAAGUAGAAAGACACAGAAAAUAAUAAUUUCUGGUUCUUAAUCUUUGCCUAAAGCUGAUGACAUUUUUGUGCUGUGCCAACAGGGAGAUUCUGUCCAUGCAUAGUUUUUUCCCUUGUCAGUACGUUUGCUUACUGCUCAGAUGUAUUAACAGAAAUUAGGAAACUGGUAUCUAUGUACCAGUGAUGAAGCAAUUAAGAACUUCAUUUGUAUUAUUGUAUAUUCCUCACCUUCCCUAGGUGUUGUCUGGUGAGGUAGUUCUAAAUGGUCAUAGACCUAGAUUGCAGAUAGCAGGUGCCUGAACUCUCUGGGGUCAUUAUUUUGCCUUUGCAUGGGAUCAUCUUUAAAUUUUUCAUACCACUGUAGAGUUAGGAAAGGGAGCUAAAAAGAUGAGCAGAAGAGAAGUAUGGAUGUCAGAGCAGUAGCAUUAAUUAUCCAAAUCUGUGAAUUAUCAGAAAGCUUACAAAAUAUUCUAUUUCCCUAUAUUGGAAGAUUUACUAAUUUACUUUAAGCUUUGCUUGGUUGAUAAUAAUAGAAUUUUCUAAGCACAAACAACUAGCUAAUGCAGAACUAACAAGAUGACAAGGAAAAGCACUAUAUUCUUUGAAUCUGUUGUUCCUAAACUGCACUGAGGCACCUUGGGACUCCAAAGGGAAUACUGUAGUAUAUUUUAAAUAUUCAAGGGAAACAGUGAUAUUCAAUGUCUGUGCAAAUUACUAGCUCUAGGUAGGUCAUGGUUUCAACAUUAGAUUGUGCCACGUUCCUUUUGGUGAGGUCCUAUCUUUGUGAAGCUGUGUUUUUGGUAAUUGCUGUAAUACUAAGCAAAUACCAGUGAAAAUCAAUGUGGAAUGAGAAAUGAGAGUGACAGCAUCCAAUCUGAUUCCAAAGUUAGAAGGUUGUGCGGUGACCAACAAGCACACACAUCCCAUUAGUAAGGAAAUGUGUGAAAGAUUUUUUUUUUUUACAAUUUAUGUUCAUUAUUCUUCUAAAUGGCUAUUUGGAAAAUAAAUGUUUAUUAAGUUUUUUGAAUCUUUACUGUGAACAACUGAUGUUUUACUGCCUCAAUUUCUGAAAGGUUAUUUUCUUAUUUUGUUAAGUUGCUGGUUCUGAACUUUUUGGUCUCAGGUUCCCUUUAUAUUCUUAACAAUAGUUGAGGACCCCCUGAAAGCUUUGCAUUGUGUUGUUCUGUCUACCAGUAUUUAACAUAUUAGGAAUUAAAACUGAAAACAUACAAGAACUCAGGAACAUAUAGCACACAUUCCAUUAGCUGUGAGAAACAUGAUGUCAUGUAGCCUCUGGAAAACACAUACACUUGUGAGAGAAUGACAGUUACAAGGCAAAUGACACUUAAGUAUUAUUAUGAAAAUAAUUUUGACAUUGCAGACCACCUGUAAUGAUCUCGGGUAUCCCAGGCAUCCCUGGACCACACUUUGAGAACAUUGCAAUAGAUGGUUUUACAAUAACCUAAAACAUAAAUCCAGGCUGCAGUGAUACACCCAUUGCAUUGUUCUGCAAGUUCUGUGUAAAUAUUUCAUGUCUAAAAUGCUUCAUAAUUUUUAUCUAUAGUACAUAGUUUUACAAGUGUACGUUAGGUGUUCUGUGCUACGAUGGUGUUAUGAUGGAUCUUAAUGUUUUACAUUUGCCUUAUUGACACUGAUAAAACAUCUUUGAACUUAUUAUUUUAUAAGCUUUAACUUGCGAAACUUAUUUGUAAUAUUCUUUUAUAUUUUCCUCAUUAAUGAUUGCAUUUUCUCUUGGAAUCAUGGGCUUUAACAGAACAUGACUGCUGGUGUGAUGAAAAUGAAAUUUAAACAAUAAAACCUUCAGCACCA